RNAcentral lists this ribosomal RNA (376 nucleotides) under uncultured bacterium. Its description in RNAcentral is "bacterial SSU rRNA". It matches the Rfam family "Bacterial small subunit ribosomal RNA", at positions 45 to 387 of the family's 1533-position model. The record is from RNAcentral.
GAUUGGAUUAGGCAUGCAAGUCGAACGAGAUCCUGGGCAUCCAAGUAGCAAUAUGAGGAUGUCCUGGUGACAGUGGCGAAAGGGUGAGUAACGCGCGGGUAAUCUGCCCUCAAGUUGGGGAUAGCUCUGCGAAAGCGGAAUUAAUACUGAAUGUGGUCGUCCUUCACAUGAAGGACUAUCCAAAGCCGGGGACCGUAAGGCCUGGCGCUUGAGGAUGAGCCCACGUACUAUCAGCUAGUUGGUGAGGUGACGGCUCACCAAGGCUAUGACGGUUAGCUGGUCUGAGAGGAUGGUCAGCCACACUGGGGCUGAGACACUGCCCAGACUCCUACGGGAGGCCGCAGUCGAGGAUCAUUCGCAAUGCCCGAAAGGAAUC